Molecule: ribosomal RNA, 497 nt
Filed under: uncultured bacterium
Lineage: Bacteria
Description: partial 16S ribosomal RNA
Rfam family: Bacterial small subunit ribosomal RNA
Source: RNAcentral
GAUGAACGCUGGCGGCGUGCCUAAUACAUGCAAGUCGAGCGAACAGACGAGGAUCUUGCUCCUCUGACGUUAGCGGCGGACGGGUGAGUAACACGUGGAUAACCUACCUAUAAGACUGGGAUAACUUCGGGAAACCGGAGCUAAUACCGGAUAAUAUAUUGAACCGCAUGGUUCAAUAGUGAAAGACGGUUUUGCUGUCACUUAUAGAUGGAUCCGCGCCGCAUUAGCUAGUUGGUAAGGUAACGGCUUACCAAGGCGACGAUGCGUAGCCGACCUGAGAGGGUGGUCGGCCACACUGGAACUGAGACACGGUCCAGACUCCUACGGGAGGCAGCAGUAGGGAAUCUUCCGCAAUGGGCGAAAGCCUGACGGAGCAACGCCGCGUGAGUGAUGAAGGUCUUCGGAUCGUAAAACUCUGUUAUUAGGGAAGAACAAAUGUGAAAGUAACUAUGCACGUCUUGACGGUACCUAAUCAGAAAGCCACGGCUAACUACGUG